AGAGGACCAGAGGAAACAUCUCCUUCAGUGGUGGAAGUAGUUUCCGCAGACAAAAGAUAGCCAAAAGUAUGGCAUGCUGGGGACAUGAGAGACAUUUUAAAGGUCUCUGAGACUUGAUCAAUGACCACUUUCUUGGAGAGCCCCACAUGGUGUAAUUUAUGCAAAUCCUGUGAAGUGGAGUCAUCUAUCUGCUCAGACAUGCAGAAAUCUUUCAGGAGAAGGGUGAGAGAUUUUUGGAAGAAAAGAAGUACAGUGGCCAGGAAAGGAAUUACCUUAAGAAGGUAAUAUGUUGAUGGGAGGAGCAGAUGCCCUGGAGUAAAACUGUUUUCCAGAAGUUUCUUGUCCUAGUGUCCAACUGGAUAAUGAUGAGCAAUCCUUGAACUCCAUCAUGUGCCUCAUGGAAUAGAGUGUAUUGUAAAAAUGCAGCUCAGCAAACGUCUCUCUUCAAAAAGUGGCUUUAAAACCUAGGACAUAUUUAGCCUACUCAGGGAAAAGAAACAAAAUAAAGCAUUCUAUAGCAGCCUUAUGACCCAUUGCUAAAGGAACCCAAAUCCACCAGCACAAGACACAGGAGUCAUUAUGAGGCAAACAGCAGUUAACCUGUGAGCUCUGAAGUCCUCCAGAGGCUGUGUGUGCGCAGUUGCCAUGGGCUGUGGAUGACCCAGGGUGUUGUGUGCCUGUUCAUUGCUCAACCUCUCAUCCUACAUCUCAUCAGUAAUGGAAUAAGUAGAUUCACCAGGGAUAUGAGUCGAAAUACUGAUUCCUGAGCUCUAAACCUGCUACACCAG
RNAcentral lists this long non-coding RNA (788 nucleotides) under Homo sapiens (human). RNAcentral's name for it is "HSALNT0113927". The record is from RNAcentral. Lineage: Eukaryota; Metazoa; Chordata; Mammalia; Primates; Hominidae.